GUGAUGGGGAUAGAUCAUUGCAAUUGUUGGUCUUCAACGAGGAAUUCCUAGUAAGCGCGAGUCAUCAGCUCGUGCUGACUACGUCCCUGCCCUUUGUACACACCGCCCGUCACUCCUACUGAUUGAAUGGUCCGGUGAAGUGUUCGGACUGCGGCGACGUGGGCGGUUCGCUGCCCGCGACGUCGCGAGAAGUCCACUGAACCUUAUCAUUUAGAGGAAGGAG
Molecule: non-coding RNA, 223 nt
Filed under: Gossypium arboreum
Lineage: Eukaryota; Viridiplantae; Streptophyta; Magnoliopsida; Malvales; Malvaceae
Description: Eukaryotic small subunit ribosomal RNA
Rfam family: Eukaryotic small subunit ribosomal RNA
Source: Rfam by way of RNAcentral